AUGCCAUCCCAUCUCCAUCCCCCUGCCAUCACAUCUCCAUCCCCAUCCCAUCUCCAUCCCCCUGCCAUCCCCAUCCCAUCUCCAUCCCCCUGCCAUCUCCAUCCCAUCUCCACCCCCAUACCAUCCCAUCUCCAUCCCAGCCCCAUCCCCAUCCCUUUGCCCACCCUAUGCCCAUGCCAUGCCCAAGCCCACACCAUCUCCAGCCCUGUGCCAUCCUAUCCCCGUGCCUUUGCUCACCCCAGGCCCUGUCAUUCCCUUCCCCAUCCCACCCCAAGCCCACGCCAUGCCCACAGUGACCCUGUGCCAAGCCCCCCCACCCUCACUGCUGCCGUGCCUCUGCCACCUGCACGCACUCACCACCUUUCUGCUCAUGCCCGCACCACCCCAUGCCCGUGCUGUGCCACCUGCACCCCAUCAUCUCCAUGCCCAUGCUGUCCCCAUGCCCACAUCAUCUUCCUGCCCACCCCACCUCUGUGCCUACACCAUUUCCAUGCCCACCCCACCCCUGCAUCCACAUUUCCCCCAUCCUGCACCCAGGCUCUGGCGAAUAAAGGAAUGGUGCCGAGUCCUACGUCGUGCUGCUCUGGGUGCUGUGCCAGCCCUGGGGAUGGGGGGACACGAGAGGACACAGACAGUGCAGGGCUACGGCAGUGCAGGGGCCGUGGCAGCAGCAGGAAGAUGUCCCCAGCACCCCGGCGUGACGCCACCCCACAUGGCAUCCUGCAGGGCCACCUGUGUCAUGAGUGCACCAGACCUCUGCCCCCUGGGGUGACACCCCCUGCUGUGGUGACAGGGAAGCGCUCGUCCUUGCAUGAGUACCCAACCCCCACACAGUUGGAAAAGGUGGGAGAUGGCCUGUGGCACCCACCUGGCUGCCAGCCCUGGGUCCCCACAUCCCUGGGAACCCCACGUCCCCAAAUCACCCGUGUCCCCAAGUCCCUCUUGUCUCCACAUCCUCAGUGUCCCUGCCCCACCAAGGUCCCCUCAUCCUGGUGUCCCUGCAGCCUCCAUGCCCAUGUGUCCCUGAUGUCAUCCCCCCCUGCCAUCCCCGAUGUCCUCACGUCCCCACGAACACCCCUAAAGCCCCUCUACAUGCAGGACCCCCGUCACUGCUGCUCAUUUCUGCCAGCCACUGCCUCCGGCUGCUUUCCUGACCAAACCUCCCUCCCUCAUUAG
This 1176-nucleotide long non-coding RNA is filed under the name Falco tinnunculus (common kestrel). RNAcentral describes it as "lncRNA (ENSFTIG00000011439.1)". Lineage: Eukaryota; Metazoa; Chordata; Aves; Falconiformes; Falconidae. The record is from RNAcentral.